GACACCACAAGUAUCUGUGGAGAAACUCCCACAAGCUGGAGCAGCCACUGAUGUUCAGUAACUUACAGCCUGAAGUGUAGUGGGGGCUAGUAAGGAAGAGAUUUUGAAAACAGGGCAUGCACAUAAAAGUCAGCCAGAAGAAGUUAUAUAGUCCCUGACAUAGAUUUUUAUCAUCAAAUAUUGCCAUGUACCACAGCAAUCAGUUCCUACUUGUGUGUCUUGAUGUUUCUGAAUUUACCUGGACUGGAAUAAUAAAAUCAGAUUUCUAAAUGCA
Pezoporus occidentalis (night parrot) is the source of this 274-nucleotide long non-coding RNA. RefSeq lists it as uncharacterized. NCBI's taxonomy places the organism in Eukaryota, Metazoa, Chordata, Aves, Psittaciformes, Psittacidae. The record is from RefSeq and is a predicted model, not a curated record. The transcript has 2 exons.